CUACGGGGAUCAGCAGUGGGGAAUAUUGGACAAUGGGCGAAAGCCUGAUCCAGCCAUGCCGCGUGUGUGAAGAAGGCCUUCGGGUUGUAAAGCACUUUCAGUGGGGAAGAAAGCCUUGGGGCUAAUACCCUCGAGGAAGGACAUCACCCACAGAAGAAGCACCGGCUAACUCCGUGCCAGCAGCCGCGGUAAUACGGAGGGUGCGAGCGUUAAUCGGAAUUACUGGGCGUAAAGCGCGCGUAGGCGGUCUGAUAAGCCGGUUGUGAAAGCCCCGGGCUCAACCUGGGAACGGCAUCCGGAACUGUCAGGCUAGAGUGCAGGAGAGGAAGGUAGAAUUCCCGGUGUAGCGGUGAAAUGCGUAGAGAUCGGGAGGAAUACCAGUGGCGAAGGCGGCCUUCUGGACUGACACUGACGCUGAGGUGCGAAAGCGUGGGUAGCAAACAGGAUUAGAUACCCCGGUAGUC
RNAcentral lists this ribosomal RNA (464 nucleotides) under Vreelandella stevensii. Its description in RNAcentral is "partial 16S ribosomal RNA". It matches the Rfam family "Bacterial small subunit ribosomal RNA", at positions 339 to 795 of the family's 1533-position model. Lineage: Bacteria; Pseudomonadati; Pseudomonadota; Gammaproteobacteria; Oceanospirillales; Halomonadaceae. The record is from RNAcentral.